Molecule: transfer RNA, 73 nt
Organism: Alkalibacterium sp. AK22
Lineage: Bacteria; Bacillati; Bacillota; Bacilli; Lactobacillales; Carnobacteriaceae
Rfam family: tRNA
About the family: Transfer RNA (tRNA) molecules are approximately 80 nucleotides in length. Their secondary structure includes four short double-helical elements and three loops (D, anti-codon, and T loops).
Source: Rfam
GCCGGCUUAGCUCAGUUGGUAGAGCAACUGAUUUGUAAUCAGUGGGUCGAGGGUUCAAAUCCUUUAGCCGGCA